RNAcentral lists this long non-coding RNA (259 nucleotides) under Elaeis guineensis (African oil palm). Its description in RNAcentral is "long non-coding RNA (EGUI_LNC053977)". Lineage: Eukaryota; Viridiplantae; Streptophyta; Magnoliopsida; Arecales; Arecaceae. The record is from RNAcentral.
UUGCAUGUGGGUAUAGGUCGAACAAUUAGAUCUAAUGAUCAAACUACAAUUAGGGUCUAAUUGAUUAGAUCAGGCGAGAACCUGUCGUUGAUUUUGAGCAGUUGAUUGAACCUAAUCGAUGAUUGAUUAGGAUUAGGUCAAAGGGAAUCCAAAUUGAGUUUAGCUAUAGUUGGUUACAUUGAUUCAUAUUUUGAUGUGAGUUAAUUGACUCAAGACUAAAUUUAGCUCAGUGGUUCGGGCCCAUUUCAAUAGGUUAACC